RNAcentral lists this ribosomal RNA (398 nucleotides) under uncultured bacterium. Its description in RNAcentral is "partial 16S ribosomal RNA". It matches the Rfam family "Bacterial small subunit ribosomal RNA", at positions 359 to 774 of the family's 1533-position model. The record is from RNAcentral.
GAAUAUUGCGCAAUGGAGGGAACUCUGACGCAUCAACGCCGCGUGAAGGAAGAAGGCUUUCGGGUUGUAAACUUCUUUGAUCGGGGACGAAGAUGACGGUACCCGAGGAACAAGCCACGUCUAACUACGUGCCAGCAGCCGCGGUAAUACGUAGGUGGCAAGCGUUGGCCGGAAUUACUGGGUGUAAAGGGCGUGUAGGCGGGAGGACAAGUCAGAUGUGAAAGCCCAUGGCUUAACUGUGGAAUUGCAUCUGAAACUGUUUUUCUUGAGUGCUGGAGAGGAAAGUGGAAUUCCUAGUGUAGCGGUGAAAUGCGUAGAGAUUAGGAGGAACACCAGUGGCGAAGGCGGCUUUCUGGACAGUAACUGACGCUGAGGCGCGAAAGCGUGGGGAGCAAACA